This 271-nucleotide ribosomal RNA is filed under the name uncultured bacterium. RNAcentral describes it as "partial 16S ribosomal RNA". It matches the Rfam family "Bacterial small subunit ribosomal RNA", at positions 524 to 794 of the family's 1533-position model. The record is from RNAcentral.
UACAGAGGUGGCAAGCGUUGUUCGGAAUUACUGGGCGUAAAGCGCGUGUAGGCGGCUCUUCAAGUCAGGCGUGAAAGCCCCGGGCUCAACUCGGGAACUGCGCUUGAUACUGUCGAGCUAGAGUGUGGAAGGGGCGAUUGGAAUUCCGUGUGUAGCGGUGAAUUGCGUAGAUAUAGGAAGGAACACCAGUGGCGAAGGCGACUACCUGGACUGAUACUGACACUGAGGUGCGAAAGCGUGGGGAGCAAACAGGAUUAGAUACCCCAGUAGU